GACGCAGUAACUCGGUGGUAGGGCUUCCGCCUCGUAAGCGGGAGACCCGGGUUCGAUUCCCGGCCGCUUUC
RNAcentral lists this transfer RNA (71 nucleotides) under Toxocara canis (dog roundworm). It matches the Rfam family "tRNA". From Rfam's summary of the family: Transfer RNA (tRNA) molecules are approximately 80 nucleotides in length. Their secondary structure includes four short double-helical elements and three loops (D, anti-codon, and T loops). The record is from Rfam by way of RNAcentral. Lineage: Eukaryota; Metazoa; Nematoda; Chromadorea; Rhabditida; Toxocaridae.